AAAUUGAAGAGUUUGAUCAUGGCUCAGAUUGAACGCUGGCGGCAGGCCUAACACAUGCAAGUCGAACGGUAACAGGAAGCAGCUUGCUGCUUUGCUGACGAGUGGCGGACGGGUGAGUAAUGUCUGGGAAACUGCCUGAUGGAGGGGGAUAACUACUGGAAACGGUAGCUAAUACCGCAUAACGUCGCAAGACCAAAGAGGGGGACCUUAGGGCCUCUUGCCAUCGGAUGUGCCCAGAUGGGAUUAGCUAGUAGGUGGGGUAACGGCUCACCUAGGCGACGAUCCCUAGCUGGUCUGAGAGGAUGACCAGCCACACUGGAACUGAGACACGGUCCAGACUCCUACGGGAGGCAGCAGUGGGGAAUAUUGCACAAUGGGCGCAAGCCUGAUGCAGCCAUGCCGCGUGUAUGAAGAAGGCCUUCGGGUUGUAAAGUACUUUCAGCGGGGAGGAAGGGAGUAAAGUUAAUACCUUUGCUCAUUGACGUUACCCGCAGAAGAAGCACCGGCUAACUCCGUGCCAGCAGCCGCGGUAAUACGGAGGGUGCAAGCGUUAAUCGGAAUUACUGGGCGUAAAGCGCACGCAGGCGGUUUGUUAAGUCAGAUGUGAAAUCCCCGGGCUCAACCUGGGAACUGCAUCUGAUACUGGCAAGCUUGAGUCUCGUAGAGGGGGUAGAAUUCCAGGUGUAGCGGUGAAAUGCGUAGAGAUCUGGAGGAAUACCGGUGGCGAAGGCGGCCCCCUGGACGAAGACUGACGCUCAGGUGCGAAAGCGUGGGGAGCAAACAGGAUUAGAUACCCUGGUAGUCCACGCCGUAAACGAUGUCGACUUGGAGGUUGUGCCCUUGAGGCGUGGCUUCCGGAGCUAACGCGUUAAGUCGACCGCCUGGGGAGUACGGCCGCAAGGUUAAAACUCAAAUGAAUUGACGGGGGCCCGCACAAGCGGUGGAGCAUGUGGUUUAAUUCGAUGCAACGCGAAGAACCUUACCUGGUCUUGACAUCCACGGAAGUUUUCAGAGAUGAGAAUGUGCCUUCGGGAACCGUGAGACAGGUGCUGCAUGGCUGUCGUCAGCUCGUGUUGUGAAAUGUUGGGUUAAGUCCCGCAACGAGCGCAACCCUUAUCCUUUGUUGCCAGCGGUCCGGCCGGGAACUCAAAGGAGACUGCCAGUGAUAAACUGGAGGAAGGUGGGGAUGACGUCAAGUCAUCAUGGCCCUUACGACCAGGGCUACACACGUGCUACAAUGGCGCAUACAAAGAGAAGCGACCUCGCGAGAGCAAGCGGACCUCAUAAAGUGCGUCGUAGUCCGGAUUGGAGUCUGCAACUCGACUCCAUGAAGUCGGAAUCGCUAGUAAUCGUGGAUCAGAAUGCCACGGUGAAUACGUUCCCGGGCCUUGUACACACCGCCCGUCACACCAUGGGAGUGGGUUGCAAAAGAAGUAGGUAGCUUAACCUUCGGGAGGGCGCUUACCACUUUGUGAUUCAUGACUGGGGUGAAGUCGUAACAAGGUAACCGUAGGGGAACCUGCGGUUGGAUCACCUCCUUACCUUAAAGAAGC
This 1553-nucleotide ribosomal RNA is filed under the name Escherichia coli. Its description in RNAcentral is "bacterial SSU rRNA". It matches the Rfam family "Bacterial small subunit ribosomal RNA". Lineage: Bacteria; Pseudomonadati; Pseudomonadota; Gammaproteobacteria; Enterobacterales; Enterobacteriaceae. The record is from RNAcentral.